GACGAACGCUGGCGGCGUGCUUAACACAUGCAAGUCGAACGGUGACGAAUGGAGCUUGCUCUGUUCUGAUCAGUGGCGAACGGGUGAGUAACACGUGAGUAACCUGCCCCUGACUCUGGAAUAACUUCGGGAAACCGAAGCUAAUACCGGAUAUGACACAGAGCCGCAUGGUUUCUGUGUGGAAAGUUUUCGGUUGGGAUGGACUCGCGGCCUAUCAGCUUGUUGGUGAGGUAAUGGCUCACCAAGGCGACGACGGGUAGCCGGCCUGAGAGGCGACCGGCCACACUGGGACUGAGACACGGCCCAGACUCCUACGGGAGGCAGCAGUGGGGAAUAUUGCACAAUGGGCGAAAGCCUGAUGCAGCGACGCCGCGUGAGGGAUGAAGGCCUUCGGUUGUAUACCUCUUUCAGUAGGAAGAAGCGCAAGUGACGGUACC
This 437-nucleotide ribosomal RNA is filed under the name uncultured bacterium. Its description in RNAcentral is "bacterial SSU rRNA". It matches the Rfam family "Bacterial small subunit ribosomal RNA", at positions 28 to 479 of the family's 1533-position model. The record is from RNAcentral.